Molecule: ribosomal RNA, 255 nt
Filed under: uncultured bacterium
Lineage: Bacteria
Description: partial 16S ribosomal RNA
Rfam family: Bacterial small subunit ribosomal RNA
Source: RNAcentral
UACGUAGGACCCAAGCGUUAUCCGGAGUGACUGGGCGUAAAGAGUUGCGUAGGCGGCUUAGUAAGUGGAUAGUGAAACCUGGUGGCUCAACCAUUCAGACUAUUAUCCAAACUGCUAAGCUCGAGAAUGGUAGAGGUAGCUGGAAUUUCUAGUGUAGGAGUGAAAUCCGUAGAUAUUAGAAGGAACACCAAUGGCGUAGGCAGGCUACUGGACCAUUUCUGACGCUGAGGCACGAAAGCGUGGGGAGCGAACCGG